RNAcentral lists this transfer RNA (69 nucleotides) under Cottus reinii. RNAcentral describes it as "tRNA-Arg". It matches the Rfam family "tRNA". From Rfam's summary of the family: Transfer RNA (tRNA) molecules are approximately 80 nucleotides in length. The record is from RNAcentral. Lineage: Eukaryota; Metazoa; Chordata; Actinopteri; Perciformes; Cottidae.
AAGCAGCUAGUUUAGCAAAAACCUUUGAUUUCGGCUCAAAAACUUGUGGUUAAAAUCCAUAGUUGCCUA